GCGUUGAAGAUGAAACUCUUGAUCGGUGAAGAACGAAAGCAUUAGUCACUCACUUAUUGGGCCGACUGAAAUAUAAACUGGGCUUAGCCCAAGUAUGAUAUUAUUGGCCUAUGUAUGUUGGUUAUACAGGCAUAAUUCAAUAAGCAUAUGUUGGUUAUACAGGCAUAAUUCAAUAAGCAUAUGUUUGUUGUAUAUAGUAUAAUGUUGUUUGUUACAUUUUUGCAGGUGAAUGAAUACAAGUAACCUGCUCUAAAGAGGAAUAUGAUGAUGUACAUAAAGAUUAAUCUACAAAGACUAUACUUCUUUAUCUUCUAGCUUGUGUUGGACAGCUUCCACAAGUUGGAGUAACAUUGCUCCAAUGAAGUACCAUGUAACUCCUGCUAACAAUAUCUGCUGCCAUGGACUGUUAACUAUAGCUAAAGCCAGCGAGCCGCCGAUAUGGUCGUUGAGCUCAGAGGCGGCUCUGUAACUUGCUUGGUACUGAACCAAGAAUACUGCUACUAUGGCUGUCCCAAUUGGGAAUUUCUUUAUCCUGAAAUGUCUUCUAUUGUCUCUUCUACUAGCAGGUUUCUCUUCUGAAGGAAAUGUCUUACGAGUCACUUGCGGAAUCGAGCUAGCUUUGGAACUGGUGUUGUUUCCAGACGAGGGAAGAGCUGUGUUUGAUGGAGUCCAAUAAUCUUCUCCAAGCAUGUAAGCUGAUCCUUUUUCUUUAGUUUUCCCCCCGCUCUGUUCUGCUUGUUUCAUUGCUGCCACAGCAUCUUGAAGCUUUCUGAUAUCUGGAUCAACUGUUUUUUUUCGUUUGGUGAAAGUUAGACUCAUGUUUGAAUCUGGACUCAACGGUUUCGUGUACGGUGAUGAUCUCCAGUAUAGCCAAUUGGAAAUGGACCUUAUUGCCUCUACUGCACUUAUUUGUACUUCUCUCUGCAAGUAUUAAUAUAACUACUUAUUAUCUGACAGGUAAGUUUAUAACUUGGCUUUUACUACUUCUUACUUCUUAGGAUAAUGGAUAACUCACCUGGGAAGUUUCUUUCGUGGUUCGGCUCAUGGCUUUGGCGUAUCUUUCUUGGAACUUCUUGACAUCAACAAAUACAUUGGAGACACGCUCGCCAACCGUGUUUCCAACCCCGAUUCUCACGUUGCCUCGUGGUUGCUUUGACAUAAGGAACUCUAAUGGAGCAAGGUCAGAUCUCUCCACCAUUCUGCACAUCUCAUAAAGAAUCAUACUUUAUGUAUUUCUCUAAAUGUCUCUCUUGACUUCACAUAUUGAGAGGGAAUUGAAACAAAACCAUUACUACAUGUCUACAUCUACUAGUUAUGUGCUUACGAAAUGCAGUCGACAAGGCAAGCUUCGAUGGCUUCUUUGAUUUUGGAUUCAGGAUCAGCCCAUUGAGCAACAACCCUCGCUCUCCCGUAAGCAGUUUCAAUAGCAAAUGUUUUCUCUGCACACAAAGCACACUUUAAGCAACCAACACACUUAACCUCGUCAACAAAUGCAGCUCGUUGCUCUGUUUCUGGUCCACACCAAACCGAAUAGAUCGGUUUCCCUGUGUAUCCUCUGAGUUCUUCCAGUUUUGCUUGCUCCUACAACAAGAAAGUUUCAUAUUUACUUGGUGUGCCCUUGACAGAGACUACAAGAAUCAAUAUAAGAGCUAACCUUGUCAUAAGCUUGACGCGUGAUCGGAUCAGAGAGAAGCUGGUAAGCCUCGUUAAGGAUGAUGGCCAUGUCGUGACC
RNAcentral lists this long non-coding RNA (1732 nucleotides) under Arabidopsis lyrata. RNAcentral describes it as "long non-coding RNA (ALYR_LNC001278)". The record is from RNAcentral. Lineage: Eukaryota; Viridiplantae; Streptophyta; Magnoliopsida; Brassicales; Brassicaceae.